AACGAACGCUGGCGGCAUGCCUAACACAUGCAAGUCGAACGAGACCUUCGGGUCUAGUGGCGCACGGGUGCGUAACGCGUGGGAACCUGCCCUUAGGUUCGGAAUAACUCCCCGAAAGGGGUGCUAAUACCGGAUAAUGUCUUCGGACCAAAGAUUUAUCGCCUUUGGAUGGGCCCGCGUUGGAUUAGCUAGUUGGUAGGGUAAAAGCCUACCAAGGCGACGAUCCAUAGCUGGUCUGAGAGGAUGAUCAGCCACACUGGGACUGAGACACGGACCAGACUCCUACGGGAGGCAGCAGUGGGGAAUAUUGGACAAGGGGCGAAAGACUGAUCCAGCAAUGCCGCGUGAGUGAUGAAGGCCUUAGGGUUGUAAAGCUCUUUUACCCGGGAUGAUAAUGACAGUACCGGGAGAAUAAGCACCGGCUAACUCCGUG
Molecule: ribosomal RNA, 433 nt
Filed under: uncultured bacterium
Lineage: Bacteria
Description: partial 16S ribosomal RNA
Rfam family: Bacterial small subunit ribosomal RNA
Source: RNAcentral